Molecule: long non-coding RNA, 1181 nt
Organism: Cucumis sativus (cucumber)
Lineage: Eukaryota; Viridiplantae; Streptophyta; Magnoliopsida; Cucurbitales; Cucurbitaceae
Exons: 2
Source: RefSeq, a predicted model, not a curated record
CCUUUUUUUUUUUUUCCUCUCUCCACCUCACUACCUUCUAUUCUAUCUUCAAACCCUCAUCUCCUAUCUCCAUCUCCAUGAAACCCACUCAAACGACUACGCGUACCACGGCCGAUGACCAUUGCAAUUUCUCCUUUGAUAAUGAUGAAGGCCCACAACUGAGGACGAACAUCGACCACGACAACACAUGACAAGUUAUAGUGAAUCAUUCCACUGCCUUUCAAAACUCUAAUUUCAAACUGUUUUGGCUAUCUCUCAACUCGCUUUGCCAUCUCAUCAUUCUCAACGAUUGUCUCACUGAAGAUUUGUGAGGUAUGUUCUUGGAUUGGUUUGACAUUUUACUUUGCUUCCAUUUUCGAUAAAUAUUAAUGACCACUUCAUCCCUAUUCUCAUCAAUCUCAUGCAAGAGGAAUCUCUACUUCGAUCAAGAUCCUAAAGUAAGCAUGGGGGAAGGCUCCUGAAUUGUAGCAAGCUCAUCAAGGAAUGAAUUAUGUUCAUGUUCAGUGGCUUGCAUGAAUUGAUGGGAAGGCUAUGGCUCAUACGUAUGAGGUUUGUUUUUUAUUUUUACGAUCAGGACAAGUUUCAGAAUUUAUGACUCGGAUAAUCAAGUUUGGCACAUGGGUCUUAGCUAAUCAUGCUUGUCCUUUGCUCCCUAAAGACACUGCUUUUUCUCUAGCAGUUGGCGAAAUCAUGGUGAAAAUGAAAUUCAGGGCUAAUAUGUUUGGUGAGAAUAAAAAAUGGAAUUUCGUGUAGAUUUUCACUGCAUAAGUACAACAGUCUUAAGUAUUCUAACUUGUCAAUGCAUGUUAGGGGCACCUUAUCUCUUACUGUGAAGGCUACAAAUUAUUAAACUGCAAUGCACAAUUGUUUCUUAUCACAUGUUACCUAUCUCCUGAUACAAUCGUUAGGAAUUUUGAGGAGGACAAUGGUGGUGGUGUGUUUUGUGGAUAACUGUGGACGUGUCAAGAAAGGCGUCAGGGGUUAGUAUAUCAAAAGUUAAUAUAUCUUUUGACUGUGUUACAUGAUUUUCGGGAGAAAAAAAUAUUGUAAACAACGUAUUUGCAUUGUUUGCAACUAUGGGACAGUCCCCUUUUGUCAUUGGGAGAUCAAAUCCCAAUGCUUUUCUCAUACCAAACUAUUGACGAUUUUUUUACCCAUUGAUGGAUAUGUUUUUUUUGGUC